This is a long non-coding RNA of Vespa crabro (European hornet), 526 nucleotides long. RefSeq lists it as uncharacterized. The transcript is spliced from 2 exons. The record is from RefSeq and is a predicted model, not a curated record. Lineage: Eukaryota; Metazoa; Arthropoda; Insecta; Hymenoptera; Vespidae.
ACAUUUUCAAAUCAAAUUAAUUUAAAAUAUAAAAAAUAAUCUAUUUAAAUCGAUAACUGAGUGUUCAAAUGAUUAACCUAUAACCGGAAACGAUGACAUCUAUCGGAAUUUUGUUAUAAUAACGAUACUACUACGUAUUCUAUAACAGGCAGCUAUAAGUAAUGUGAGCAAGCACGUCGUAGCAGACGGUUUUGCUUGUUUAAUGUUCAAAUUUUUAAUAUUGCUUCGUUUAUUCUGAAAAUUUACGAAAUAUAUUUAUAACAACAAAAUGGCUGAUAAAAUAAACAAAGAAGCAGAAAACUUGAAAGGUUUUUCAAAAUAUUUUAAUAGUGUGACGAUCCAAGGACGAGCCAAUGUUGCUAAAACAACGUAUGCUCUUGUAGCUCUAAUUUCAGCUUACUAUUAUCUCAAACCAAAGAAAGAAGUGGCAAAAUAAAAAAAUGAAGGCAAAUAAUCAUCUUACAUAAUGAUUUUGUCCAUAAAUUAGGUGUGCUAUUUACUUAAUAAAAAUGUAGUAAACAAUUUA